UCUCUAUUCGGGAAACCCCCGUUUUUCACGGUUCAUGGCACCACGUGCAUUCUGUUCAUUGUUGGCUACUAUUGGCGGGAUUUUCUAUUUAUAAGUAACAGUUUUCAACUCUUCCCGGCGUAUCCAUUUUGAACUUAUAGAGGACUGUUCAUACAUUUGUUUUGAAAGUUUCGUCUUAAAGUUCUUGAAUACAAUAUGAACUUGACCUACAGUCACCUUACUUGGAAUUGUGAUGGAUUGUGGAGAGCCAGACUAUGGGUUGCCCUUAGCAUUUCUUUAAAAUGAUAACAUCAAUUAAAGAAAUUAAAAACUUUUUUAAAAUUACAUUAACCCUAGCCAUGCUGACAUCAAUUAGAGAUAACUUUUUCAUUUUCAAAAUCUGGUUAUGAUGUUGGGUGCCAUUUCUUUAACAAAUCAGCAUGGAUCCUUCCCUAUAAGCACACUAACUUUUAAGUGUAUCCUAGGUCAUUGACCAUAUUUUAAAAUGAAAUAUAAUUAACUAACUUAUGAAGAAAAUUUUAAUUGAAAAUAAUUUUACUCAUCUCUACUCUGUAGAUACUAUAUAUUGCACAAACACUGCACCUGGACUGGAGACACAACUUGACUGAAGACACAAACACUGCACCUGGACUGGAGACACAACUUGACUGAAGACACAAACACUGCACCUGGACUGGAGACACAACUUGACUGAAGACACAAACACUGCACCUGGACUGGAGACACAACUUGACUGAAGACACAAACACUGCACCUGGACUGGAGACACACCUUGACUGAAGACACAAACACUGCACCUGGACUGAAGACUGUAGACAAAAUAUUGAAGUUGAAUGGAACUAGGGACCAUUUAAACUAGCUGCUUCAAAAAAAAUAUUCAUUAUUGACUUCUUUAUUGAUGUGUUAUGAUGAAAUCAUGUUUUUGAUAAUAGCAUUAUAAAUGUAAAUGCAUUAAAACAUUGGAUUGACUUUGACUCGAGACUUGUAGUUUCUCCAGAGUAUAAAUGAGUUUGCUCAUUAAAGGGUAAAGACAAUUUCAUUUUGAUAUUUACCAAUUUCUUUACAUUUCAUAGCAAGGCUAUAAUGGUAGAUGCACCAAAAUAGAUUUUCAUAAUUGGCUCUUUUUCCACAAAUUUAAAAAAAAAUGAAAAUUGAAACAGCAAAUAGUGUCUAUUUAAAGCUGAUAAUGAUUUACAGCUUUUGUUAAAAAGACGGCCUUUUCUUUAAUAUAUGUUGCCCUCCUCGACGAAAGAAGAUAGAUUCAUGGCAGAUAGGAAGAGUCAACAUAUACAGCAUCUAGUAUAUGUUGCCUUCCACGACAGAUGAAGAGACCCAUUUGUAUAGGACUGGCCUCAUGUA
Long non-coding RNA from Mytilus trossulus (common blue mussel), 1359 nucleotides. RefSeq lists it as uncharacterized. The record is from RefSeq and is a predicted model, not a curated record. The transcript has 4 exons. Lineage: Eukaryota; Metazoa; Mollusca; Bivalvia; Mytilida; Mytilidae.